GAUGAACGCUGGCGGCGUGCCUAAUACAUGCAAGUCGAACGUGAAAAGGGGCAACCCUGAGUAAAGUGGCGUACUGGUGAGUAACACGUAGGUAAUCUACCCCAGAGUCUGGAAUAACCUGCCGAAAGGCGGGCUAAUACUGGAUAGAGCGACGGAAUCCGUAAUUGGGUUUUUCGGGAAAGGGAGGGAGCAAUCCCCCUUGCUCUGGGAUGAGCCUGCGUCCCAUCAGCUAGUUGGUAAGGUAACGGAGUACCAAGGCUUUGAAGGGUAGCUGGUCUGAGAGGAUGAUCAGCCACACUGGAACUGAAACACGGUCCAGACUCCUACGGGAGGCAGCAGUGGGGAAUCUUGCGCAAUGGACGAAAGUCUGACGCAGCCACGCCGCGUGAGUGAAGAAGGCCUUCGGGUUGUAAAGCUCUGUCGAGCGGGACGAAAAUCAUUAGGGUUAACAGCCCUAGUGCCUGACGGUACCGCUAAAGGAAGCACCGGCUAACUUCGUGCCAGCCGCCGCCGUAA
This 516-nucleotide ribosomal RNA is filed under the name uncultured bacterium. RNAcentral describes it as "partial 16S ribosomal RNA". It matches the Rfam family "Bacterial small subunit ribosomal RNA", at positions 28 to 523 of the family's 1533-position model. The record is from RNAcentral.